RNAcentral lists this ribosomal RNA (435 nucleotides) under uncultured bacterium. Its description in RNAcentral is "partial 16S ribosomal RNA". It matches the Rfam family "Bacterial small subunit ribosomal RNA", at positions 28 to 507 of the family's 1533-position model. The record is from RNAcentral.
AGCGAACGCUGGCGGCAGGCUUAACACAGGCAAGUCGAGCGGGCACUUUCGGGUGUCAGCGGCGGACGGGUGAGGAACGCGUGGGAACGUGCCCUCUGGUUCGGAAUAACUCAUGGAAACUUGAGCUAAUACCGGAUACGCCCGCUUGGGGAAAGACUUGCUGCCGGAGUGUCGGCCCGCGUCUGAUUAGCUAGUUGGUGAGGUAACGGCUCACCAAGGCGACGAUCAGUAGCUGGUCUGAGAGGAUGAUCGGCCACACUGGGACUGAGACACGGCCCAGACUCCUACGGGAGGCAGCAGUGGGGAAUAUUGGACGAUGGGCGCAAGCCUGAUCCAGCCAUGCCGCGUGAGUGAUGAAGGCCUUAGGGUUGUAAAGCUCUUUUGCCCGCGACGUUCAUGACGGUCCCGGCGGAAUAAGCCCCGGCUAACUUCGUG